RNAcentral lists this ribosomal RNA (424 nucleotides) under uncultured bacterium. Its description in RNAcentral is "bacterial SSU rRNA". It matches the Rfam family "Bacterial small subunit ribosomal RNA", at positions 356 to 773 of the family's 1533-position model. The record is from RNAcentral.
GGGGAAUCUUGCGCAAUGGGCGAAAGCCUGACGCAGCGACGCCGCGUGAGCGAUGAAGGCCUUCGGGUUGUAAAGCUCUGUGGGGAGGGAAGAAUAAGUGGAGGCCAAUACCCUCCAUGAUGACGGUACCUCCUUAGCCAGCACCGGCUAACUCUGUGCCAGCAGCCGCGGUAAUACAGAGGGUGCAAACGUUGUUCGGAAUUACUGGGCGUAAAGCGCGUGUAGGCGGCUAUGCAAGUCGGAUGUGAAAUCCCGCGGCUCAACCGUGGAAGUGCACUCGAUACUGCAAAGCUCGAGUCCUGGAGAGGAAGGUGGAAUGCUUGGUGUAGAGGUGAAAUUCGUAGAUAUCAAGCGGAACACCGGUGGCGAAGGCGGCCUUCUGGACAGUAACUGACGCUGAGACGCGAAAGCGUGGGGAGCAAAC